GGAGUCGUGGCUGAGCGGCCGAAAGCACCACCCUGCUAAGGUGGAGUCCCUUGAACUGGGGACCGUGGGUUCAAAUCCCACCGACUCCG
This is a non-coding RNA of Brevibacterium mcbrellneri ATCC 49030, 89 nucleotides long. The record is from Rfam. Lineage: Bacteria; Bacillati; Actinomycetota; Actinomycetes; Micrococcales; Brevibacteriaceae.